RNAcentral lists this ribosomal RNA (467 nucleotides) under uncultured bacterium. RNAcentral's name for it is "partial 16S ribosomal RNA". It matches the Rfam family "Bacterial small subunit ribosomal RNA", at positions 28 to 507 of the family's 1533-position model. The record is from RNAcentral.
GACGAACGCUGGCGGCGUGCUUAACACAUGCAAGUCGAACGGAAAGGCCUCUCUUGGGGGGUGCUCGCGUGGCGAACGGGUGAGUAACACCUGAGUAUCCUCCCCUUGUUUCUGGGUUAACUCCUGGAAACUGCGGUUAUUACCCGUUAGGCGCUCUUGCUCCAUUGGGGGGGUUUGAAACUUUCGGCGGUUGGGGGUGUCUUCGCGGGUUAUCAGCUUUUUUGGGGGGUAGUGGGUUAUCAAGGCUUUUACGGGUAGCCGGCCUGAGGAGGUUACCGGGCACAAUGGGACUGAGAGGCGGCCCAGACGCCUACGGGGGGCAGCAGGGGGGAAGAUUGCACAAUGGGUGGAAGCCUGAUGCAGCAAAGCCGUGGGCGGGAAGACGGCCUUCGGGUUGUAAACCGGAUUCGAUCAUGACGAAGCUUUGUGUGACGGUAGUGGGUAAAGAAGCACCGGCUAACUACGUG